AUGCCAGAUGUAAUGCAUCUCCAAACCGACAUAGCUAUUCACCCCACUACAAAUAGGAGCCAUCCCUUUCACUGUGGCCACACACAAUCAUCCGCUGGAGAAACCCCUCUGCCUUUUCACCUUGCCUUUUCACUUUCUGCCACACUACUGUCCUCCACUGAUGUGAAGCUCUUUGGGUUGCAUGCGCCACCAGGUACUAAUCAAGUACCUUGUUGUGUUAGACCUUCUUGCUUGACUUCUUAUCUAUCUCCACCUCGGUUUGAAUCAGUCCAUGAGCGUCUAUUCACCUUGAUCUAUUUACCUUGCAGUAAAAAGAACAAACAGUAG
RNAcentral lists this ribosomal RNA (327 nucleotides) under Triticum aestivum (bread wheat). Its description in RNAcentral is "partial small subunit ribosomal RNA". Lineage: Eukaryota; Viridiplantae; Streptophyta; Magnoliopsida; Poales; Poaceae. The record is from RNAcentral.